Molecule: non-coding RNA, 465 nt
Organism: Marmota flaviventris (yellow-bellied marmot)
Lineage: Eukaryota; Metazoa; Chordata; Mammalia; Rodentia; Sciuridae
Source: RefSeq, a predicted model, not a curated record
UGAUCCUCCUGCUUUUGCCUCUCUAUUUGCUGGGAUUACAGAGAUACUUGCUGAGGCCUGCCUGACAAAGCCUGCAACCUUUGGUUCUGCUGCUGCACCUGCAGAUGCAUGUGAUGACUGCUAUGGGUCCACCUCACUUCUACCACAUCUGAGCCAGUUUCCAAGCAGGAAACUUGCUGGGAGUUGAGAUUUAGAUACUACCCCCUGGUACUCCCUGACCAAUUUUAGAUGUCUCUUCUAAGGAAGAAAGACUAUUGUAACUCCUGGAAGCCAAGUAGAUAGAGUCUUCCAAAACACUGUGGCCAUUUUCCUCAGCUCAUGAUGACUUGCCAGGGCCAGGGCCAGCCUGCUGUCCCCACAACCCACUCAUCCAAGCAUAAUUUCUCAGCCUUCCAUCAGUAGGUCUCCAUUCAUCUCAUUCUAUCCACACUGAAGCAAAUUAAAGCCAUUUUCUUUUUACCUCUA